GGGGAGGGGGCAGUGUCCUCCGAGCCAGUGGCCCCCAUGACGCAGAACUCCUGGAGGUAGCAGCAGCUCCUGCCCCAGAGUGGUGUCCUCUGGCAGCCCAGCCCCAGGCUCUGUGACAGCCUAGUGAGGGCUGCAAGACCAUCCUGCCCGGACCACAGAAGGAGAGUUGGCGGUCACAGAGGGCUCCUCUGCCAGGCAGUGGGAAGCCCUGGGUUUGGCCUCAGGAGCUGGGGGUGCAGUGGGGGACUGCCCUAGUCCUUGCCAGGUCGCCAGCACCCUGGAGAAGCAUGGGGCGUAGCCAGCUCGGAACUUGCCAGGCCCCAAAGGCCACGACUGCCUGUUGGGGACAGGAGAUGCAUGGACAGUGUGCUCAAGCUGUGGGCAUGUGCUUGCCUGCGGGAGAGGUCCUUCACUGUGUGUACACAGCAAGAGCAUGUGUGUGCCACUUCCCCUACCCCAACGUGAAAACCUCAAUAAACUGCCCGAAGCAGCUUG
Molecule: long non-coding RNA, 495 nt
Filed under: Homo sapiens (human)
Lineage: Eukaryota; Metazoa; Chordata; Mammalia; Primates; Hominidae
Description: HSALNT0170808
Source: RNAcentral